CAAAUCCAUCACGUCUCUUUAUCGAGAUCACGUUGAAAUGUUCCCCAGACUGUGUGCUGUAGCAAUACACGCACUGUCUGGGCUGAUAAACUAGUGUUUCCUUGUUGCUCAAUUGUAUCUUGGUGUUCAUCUACCCGAUGACGCUUAACAACAAAAGUA
RNAcentral lists this unclassified non-coding RNA (159 nucleotides) under soil metagenome. Its description in RNAcentral is "partial internal transcribed spacer 1". The record is from RNAcentral.